CGCGAGCUAAAUAAGCUUGAGAUCGAUUGCUUAUUUUAAUAAACUGAAUACAAGGUAAACUUUUCAUCUGGGUCGGCUGCUUUGCUUAAUAUAGCUCGAAUAUAUAUAUAUAGUCCGUCUCCUGUACUUUCUAAACAACUUACAAGUACAUGGCCUCCCGUACGUUCGAAAGCAUAGGAGCCUAGCUCUCUCUCUCUCUCUCUCUCUCUCUCUCUCUC
RNAcentral lists this long non-coding RNA (218 nucleotides) under Ananas comosus (pineapple). RNAcentral's name for it is "long non-coding RNA (ACOM_LNC002737)". Lineage: Eukaryota; Viridiplantae; Streptophyta; Magnoliopsida; Poales; Bromeliaceae. The record is from RNAcentral.